Molecule: long non-coding RNA, 1023 nt
Organism: Cyanistes caeruleus (blue tit)
Lineage: Eukaryota; Metazoa; Chordata; Aves; Passeriformes; Paridae
Source: Ensembl
UUUUCCCUCCCAGACCUCUUUGGAUAGUAACAUAAAUGCUAGACACCUACCCACUGUUCCUGCCAUAAGGUCAAAGUUGGAUUAAUAGCUUUUCUCUACAAUUGAUGAAGUGUCACUGUCCAGGUAUUUUCCUGGAAGCUCCAAAGCUCAGUUCUGACUGAUUGCUACUCUAACCUGUUUCUCAUUUUUAAAUGUAGCCUGCUGCUUCUCAAAGCUCCAGAUUACUGAGUGGAGAUGACACUGAUGGACUGGACUUUGUACUGAGCAGGAAGGCUGUCUGAGUGAAGUUCCAAGCGAAGGAAACAAAACCCAUUGUUGCUAUUUGGCAGUUUCUGCUAGAGAGAGCAGUGGAAUGGAGUGAUACAUGCACGGAGUAUUUAAAAUAAGCUUGCCUCUGCACCUUCAGCUAAGGAAAAAGUGUGAUGACAAGUUGAUGACAGCUGAUGACUGAAUGAAGAGCUCAGUGGGGAUGCCUAGGAAGAGCUUGUCUUUCCCCAUUGUGUCUUCAUAGAGGACCAAGAAGUGCCUCUAAUUGUUACCAGGGACACAAAUUGUACAUAAAGUAACAACUGGACGGUGAGUCCCAGGUAACUGUGCCAGGACAGGACUUUGAUCUGACUCUUUCUAAAGCAUCUCUCAUUCCUAGUAGUCCCUCCUUGUGCUUUGUGAACUUUGAGGAAGACAGGUAGAUAGACAGGGUCAGAUCCAUGGUCCUAGCUGGACACAAGGAACUGGGAUUGGUAGAAUUGCGCCUCUGAGGACUGGAGAGGGUUCUUCAUGACAGCUCCAACCACUGUCUCCAAAGGCAGGGUUAUAUUUGGUCUGCUGGAGAGUGGGAAGCAGAUAGACGGUCUCUCCUGCCCUUGGUUACACAUAAUGAGCUUCCUGCAAGGAGGAAUAGAAAGUGCAUUUCAGAAGACAGGACUCAAGGUAGCUCUGGUGGAUUACUACACUCUUUUUGGAAAGAUGGAGAUCAUCAUGAAUACUGUUUCAGAAAAGGGCCCACCACCAGAGCUGCAGUAG